RNAcentral lists this ribosomal RNA (403 nucleotides) under uncultured soil bacterium. Its description in RNAcentral is "bacterial SSU rRNA". It matches the Rfam family "Bacterial small subunit ribosomal RNA", at positions 509 to 912 of the family's 1533-position model. The record is from RNAcentral.
CAGCAGCCGCGGUAAUUCGAAGGGGGCUAGCGUUGCUCGGAAUCACUGGGCGUAAAGCGCACGUAGGCGGAUUGCUAAGUCAGGGGUGAAAUCCUGGAGCUUAACUCCAGAACUGCCUUUGAUACUGGCGACCUUGAGUCCGGGAGAGGUGAGUGGAACUGCGAGUGUAGAGGUGAAAUUCGUAGAUAUUCGCAAGAACACCAGUGGCGAAGGCGGCUCACUGGCCCGGUACUGACGCUGAGGUGCGAAAGCGUGGGGAGCAAACAGGAUUAGAUGCCCUGGUAGUCCACGCCGUAAACGAUGGAUGCUAGCCGUUGGUGGGUUUACCCUUCAGUGGCGCAGCUAACGCAUUAAGCAUCCCGCCUGGGGAGUACGGUCGCAAGAUUAAAACUCAAAUGAAUUG